Molecule: unclassified non-coding RNA, 320 nt
Filed under: uncultured fungus
Lineage: Eukaryota; Fungi
Description: partial contains 5.8S ribosomal RNA and internal transcribed spacer 2
Rfam family: 5.8S ribosomal RNA (bases 1-133)
Source: RNAcentral
UGGUUCUGGCAUNGAUGAAGAACGCAGCGAAAUGCGAUACGUAAUGUGAAUUGCAGAAUUCAGUGAAUCAUCGAAUCUUUGAACGCACAUUGCGCUCCCUGGUAUUCCGGGGAGCAUGCCUGUUCGAGCGUCAUUAUCAACCAUCAAGCUCUGCUUGGAAUUGGGCGUCGUCCGCACGGACGUGCCUUAAACGCCUCGGCGGCGGUUUCAAACCUCAAGCGUAGUAAAAUCUUUUCAGCUUUCUAGGUUCGGGACCGUUUUUGCCUCGAGAACCCUCUCACCUCAAGGUUGACCUCGGAUCAGGUAGGGAUACCCGCUGA